AACCUACCUUCUACAGGGGGAUAGCCCAGAGAAAUUUGGAAUAAUACCCCAUACGAUCAUUGAUUGGCAUCGAUCAAUGAGGAAAACUCAGGUGGUAGAAGAUGGGCAUGCGUCCUAUUAGUUAGUUGGUGAGGUAACGGCUCACCAAGACGUCGAUAGGUAGGGGCCCUGAGAGGGGGAUCCCCCACACUGGUACUGAGACACGGACCAGACUCCUACGGGAGGCAGCAGUGAGGAAUAUUGGACAAUGGGGGCAACCCUGAUCCAGCCAUGCCGCGUGCAGGAAGACUGCCCUAUGGGUUGUAAACUGCUUUUAUACAGGAAGAAACUGUGCUACGUGUAGUGCACUGACGGUACUGUAAGAAUAAGGAUCGGCUAACUCCGUGCCAGCAGCCGCGGUAAUACGGAGGAUCCAAGCGU
RNAcentral lists this ribosomal RNA (420 nucleotides) under uncultured bacterium. Its description in RNAcentral is "bacterial SSU rRNA". It matches the Rfam family "Bacterial small subunit ribosomal RNA", at positions 123 to 541 of the family's 1533-position model. The record is from RNAcentral.